AAAAUCUAGAUCUAACUAUUAGAUCUACCAUAGAGAUCAAAACAAGUUAGAGAUCAUUACAAAAUAAAUUUUGAUCUUGAUCUUCUCUAGUCCAAUGGUUAGAGAAGAUGUUCCUCAGAUUGCUCGCAGCCACAUGAAGUUAUCUGGCCUCUAUAGGAAAAUUCACACGUAGACUGGCGCAGAUCAGGGACUUGGAGAUGCUAGUCUGCAAGCAACUUCGAUAGCUAGUCUCUUCAUUCUUCUACAAGCACCUUAGACACUCCAAAGUAGUAGAGGAUCUGG
This 282-nucleotide long non-coding RNA is filed under the name Elaeis guineensis (African oil palm). Its description in RNAcentral is "long non-coding RNA (EGUI_LNC071624)". The record is from RNAcentral. Lineage: Eukaryota; Viridiplantae; Streptophyta; Magnoliopsida; Arecales; Arecaceae.